Molecule: long non-coding RNA, 2473 nt
Organism: Esox lucius (northern pike)
Lineage: Eukaryota; Metazoa; Chordata; Actinopteri; Esociformes; Esocidae
Exons: 3
Source: RefSeq, a predicted model, not a curated record
CAGAGACACACGUACGCACUACACAGGUACGCAGUUUAUAUGUCGCGCUGCUGUUUUUGUUUCACGCUCUAGCAGUUAAUAAACAGAACUGCAUGCGUCUUGCAAAAGAACAUUGUAACCAGCGCUACUUCUCUCCGUUUAUGACUAUGGACGAGUCACCCAGCUACUCCACAGCGGCGGCGACCCGCUGGACUAAAAUAGGCAGAAAAUAAACACUUAUUAUAGGUGUACCGUGAUUCAGGAUACUGACUCCAAUACUCACCGAUAUGGUUUCGGAAUCGGAACAACUCUAGGUAAAAGGAAAGAAGUGUGACACACAGCUUUGGAGCAACUUAGUUGAUUCACAACACUACAUAACGGCUUCUCACUCUGCGUUUGUUUCGGGUACAGAGGAGAAGUAGAAGAGAAGAGGAUUACACCAUUUGCUAAGCCGGGAUGUUUUCAUUUUCAUCCUUAACACAUACAUUCUAAACCACAAACUACGGAGUAUGUUUUGGACAUUAUUUAACCUUGUCAAAGACGAACAAAAAUGUUAUAGAAUAACAUCAUUUCUUACUCCAAGUUUUAAGGGUGCUGAGCUCCUUUUUAGGGGUGCUGAAGCACCCCUAAAAAGGGGCUAGCCUCGCCCAUGAUCCACACUAAAAGCGGAGGUCCUGUGGGUGUUGAAUACUGUGACUAAACACCAAUCCUACAACGGGAACGAAGAAAUUGCCGAACUUUUCCGAGCAAUGUUCCCAGACUCUGACAUAGCCAAAACUUUUACGUGCGGGAAAGAUAAGACCUCAUCUGGUUUGGCUUGGAAGAGUAUAUAAAAAUACCUCGUCUCCAAGGUAUCGGGGCCUUAUGUUCUCAUGUUUGAUGAAAGCUUAAAUCACACAAGCAAGAAGAAACAGCUGGACAUACACGUUCGUUUCUGGAAUGACGACAAGGUGCAUUCCCGGUACCUGGGAUCACACUUCAUUGGCCAUUUCACGGCCCAGGAUUUGCUAAAGCACUUUAAAGAGUGUGUGCAGCAGCUGAAUCUCCGCAGGCUGGUCUCUGUAUCGAUGGAUGGGCCCAAUGUAAAUUUAAAGUUCUUUGAGCUUCUCCAAUCCGACUUAAAUGAAAUGUAUGGGGGUGCUCAGCUGGUGUCCAAGGGGAGCUGUGGGCUUCAUACUCUGCACAAUGCUUUCAAGGCAGGUUUCUCAAUGUGGCAGGUGGAAAAGCUGUUAAGAGCAAUGCACACACUCUUUAACAAUGUUCCAGCGAGGAGGGAAGACUACGUGACAGUCACCAAGUCAUCAGUGUUCCCCCUAUCAUUCUGUGGACAUCGAUGGUUGGAGAACCAGACCUCUGGAGGUCUGGCCUUCACUUCAGCUGUAUGUGAAUGCGGUGAAAAGAAAGGAGCUGCCAAACCCUGGUACAGGCUCAUAUGAUACAAUAGAGGCCGCUCAAAAGGAUCCCCUGAUCUUGGCAAAGUUUAAUUUUUUCACGACCAUCGCCCGUACCUUUGACCCCUUCCUGAAAAGGUACCAGACGGAUGAGCCAGUAAUGCCAUUCCUUGCCAAAGACUUGGCUGAGUUGAUCAAGAGUGUACUGAGGCGGUUUGUGAAGCGAGAAGUCCUGCAGGACAUUACAAAACUACAGCUCACCAAGCUGGACUUGAGAGAAUUUGCUCCUCCCACAGAAAAUUGACAUUGGCCUAGCUGCAGAUAAAGCCCUGAAGGUAUUGUGGUCAAUUUUGAAGUUGUAUUUGAAGUAAUUUUAGAAAUUGUGGUCAGGAUACAAGAAGCAGGAAUCAUUGUGUUGUACAUUCUACUUACUUGUGUUUUUAUUGUACAUCCCUCUUUAGGACACUAAAAUAUCAGAUCUCAGAGUCCUUGAAUUUAGAAGGCAAUGCAUUCAGGGUCUGACUAAUAUAGUCAGAAAAGUGCAGGAGAAGAGCCCACUCAAAUACGCCACUGUUAGGCAGAUGGCCUGUCUGGACCCCUCUAACAUGUUCAGAGACCCAGACAGGUGGAAGGAACAAAUGAAAUGUCUGGUGCAGACCUUUCUACAGGCCAAGCAGCUGGCAGGAGGUGUAUCUGCUGGUAGGAGUAGUUCUGGAAGGGGCUUUGACCAAAGUUAGAGUACCACACUGAAUUAUAUUAGACUGUGUUUACAGCAUUGUACUUAACUGUGCCAUCUUGCAGACAUUUGCUACAUUUAUAUACCUUUUCUCUUUUCCCAUCAGGGGUAUUUUUUAGUGUGGAUCUCUAGCUUUUGUCAUUUCCUCUUGUAAUGGUCCUGCACCUGUUCCGUGUGCAGUGUCUCAUGAUUUAGAAUUGUUUUACAUAAGGUUUUCCUUGCUUACAAUAUAAAGUUUAGGUGCAUCACCUAAGUGUUAACACAUUUGAGAAAAUAAAUGUAAAAAUCAGAAGGUACCGUAUUUUCCGCACUAUAAGGCGCACUUAAAAGCCUUUAAUUUUCUCAAAAAACGACAGUGUGCCUUAUA